Molecule: ribosomal RNA, 497 nt
Filed under: uncultured bacterium
Lineage: Bacteria
Description: partial 16S ribosomal RNA
Rfam family: Bacterial small subunit ribosomal RNA
Source: RNAcentral
GAUGAACGCUGGCGGCGUGCCUAAUACAUGCAAGUCGAGCGAACGGACGAGAAGCUUGCUUCUCUGAUGUUAGCGGCGGACGGGUGAGUAACACGUGGAUAACCUACCUAUAAGACUGGGAUAACUUCGGGAAACCGGAGCUAAUACCGGAUAAUAUUUUGAACCGCAUGGUUCAAAAGUGAAAGACGGUCUUGCUGUCACUUAUAGAUGGAUCCGCGCUGCAUUAGCUAGUUGGUAAGGUAACGGCUUACCAAGGCAACGAUGCAUAGCCGACCUGAGAGGCUGAUCGGCCACACUGGAACUGGGACACGGUCCAGACUCCUACGGGAGGCAGCAGUAGGGAAUCUUCCGCAAUGGGCGAAAGCCUGACGGAGCAACGCCGCGUGAGUGAUGAAGGUCUUCGGAUCGUAAAACUCUGUUAUUAGGGAAGAACAUAUGUGUAAGUAACUGUGCACAUCUUGACGGUACCUAAUCAGAAAGCCACGGCUAACUACGUG